Long non-coding RNA from Zingiber officinale, 1952 nucleotides. RefSeq lists it as uncharacterized. The transcript is spliced from 2 exons. The record is from RefSeq and is a predicted model, not a curated record. Lineage: Eukaryota; Viridiplantae; Streptophyta; Magnoliopsida; Zingiberales; Zingiberaceae.
CAUAGUUUGACGCUGGCUGGCAACCUAACGCAACCCUCCUCCUUUAUCCGGGCUUGGGACCGGCCAUGACCGGUCAUCAUGGGCGGAGUUGGAUAAAGAGCACUAGAAAAACAAUAUUAAAAUGACGAUCAAAAGUUCCCUAAUACAGUCCUUUCGACUUUCAAGUAAUAUCCAGUGGAGGAGGAAGAAAGAAGGGAAAGAUGAAAGUUCCCUAAUACAAUUUCGAUUUCCCUUUUCAUUGGACCUAUCAGUUUCUAUUUCCUCUUGGUCGUGUUAGCAUAUUUAAUCCAUUUCCAUUUCUCAGUUUCUUUUUUUUGUGCUACAAUUGCUAUAAUAUUUCCACUAGUUUAAUUGUUGUAGCUACUAGUGAUUUUGAACUUUGCCCUGAAUAAAAAACGUAUGGUCUCUAAAAGCUCGGGUCUUCUAGAUCAUUGUUCGAUGAUUUCAUGCAUGACCAAACUCUCUAGAAGACUUAUUUUUAUAAAAAAGAAAAAAAAAAUUGGUAUCAGGUACAUGGAUGAUGAUGUAGUGAAUUAGGGUACUAAUAUUUUAUAAGUCAAACAAAAACCUAUUUACUUUUGUUGGUUUCACAAUGAUUUUCAUUGGCCAAUUUCAUAUCCUAUUUUUUGAGCAACCAGAUCCAGUUUAGUUUUUAAUCUCUGAUUACUGUAAUUGUUAGCCACUACAAUAUAAGAGAUUAGUAUAGCUAAGAUAUGAUCACUCAUAGAACUCAGUUAUAGGGUAAGAAGAUCUCUAUAGGACUGAUCUCAAAUAGUUGGAUCAAACAGUUUGUUGCAGUAUAGGCUUGUACUAUUUUUGUAGUGUAAUUUUAAAUUUAAUUUUUAUGACAAGUUUUAUUUCUUUCAUAUUGUGCACGGGCAGACUCAUAAUGGAGAAGUUGCCUCACUCGUAUCAUUAAUCUACAUGUGCUGUACACAAUGAGUGUGUUUUUAUUUUUGAUCAUAUGUUAUUUAGAACUCAUGCUGAUAUGCUUACCUUUGGUUGAUGUUCUUUCAGUGUCCAAGUGGGCACACUUUGUGCUUUUCCUACAAAAACAAAGUAAACAAGUGCCCAAUCUGCCGAAAGGAAAUUGGCCAAAUCCGUUGUUUAGCACUGGAAAAACUUGCUGCUUCACUCCAUUUACCUUGUUCAUACCAUCAUCUUGGUUGCACAGAAAUGAUGCCCUAUUACAGCAAGUUGCAGCACAAAACACAUUGUGUUUACUAGCCUUAUGCAUGCCCUCAUCCUGGUUCAGAUUGUCCCUUCACCGGAGACAUUCAUGAACUUAUGUCACAUCUUAAACAAUGCCACAAAUUGGAUCUUCAAGCAGGAAGCACUUUCCAUCACCGUUAUGUGAAACAGGAUCCUCAUUUUGUUGACAAUUGCUCAUGGACUCUAACUCUAUUCAACUGCUUCGACUGCUACUUCUGCCUUCAUUCCGAAGCGUUUGUGAUAGGUUGUGAGCCAGUUUAUAUGACCUUCAUCUGUUUCAUGGGCGAAGAGUCUGAGGCAAGGAAGUUCACUAUUGCCUUGAAAUUGGAGGCCAUGGGCGCAACAUGAAAUGGCAAGGUGUACCUCAAAGCAUCAGGACUCACCACAGGAUGGUGCGAGACAGCUACGAUGGGCUCAUAGCCCUGAACUUUGCUUCUCAAAAAUCAGAUGUUUUUGCUCUCGAGCAGAUUUUGCUACUGGAAGCCUCAAUGGCACUCUAAUUCCAGACAUUUCAUCGCUACUACUUGGAUAUAUUACUCAGUAAAUCUUGAAACUCAUAGGAGACAGGCACAAACCCCAAACCCAUAAAAAUAGGAUGGUUUUGCUAUCCCGCAGAUUUUGCUCCUGGAAGCCUCAAUGGCACUGUUAUUCCAGAUCUCAAAUCACUGUAUAUCUAAUCGGUAAAAAGCAACUGAACAAUGGUGUAUAUGUGCAUUUUGUUAUUAAGUAUAUUCGAAAAC